CCUACGGGUGGCAGCAGUGAGGAAUCUUGGUCAAUGGGCGAGAGCCUGAACCAGCCAAGCCGCGUGAGGGAAGAAGGUUCUAUGUUUUGUAAACCUCUUUUAUAGGGGAAUAAAGUCGGGAACGUGUCCCUUUUUGUAUGUACCUUAUGAAAAAGCAUCGGCUAACUCCGUGCCAGCAGCCGCGGUAAUGCGGUGGAUGCGAGCGUUGUCCGGAUUUAUUGGGUUUAAAGGGUGCGUAGGGGGUCAAUUAAGUCAGCGGUGAAAGUAUGUGGCUCAACCAGAGUAGUGCCGUUGAAACUGGUUGACUUGAGUAGAUGUGAGGUAGGCGGAAUGCGUGGUGUAGCGGUGAAAUGCGUAGAUAUAACGCAGAACUCCGAUUGCGAAGGCAGCUUACUGGACUAUAACUGACGCUGAGGCACGAAAGCGUGGGUAUCGAACAGGAUUAGAUACCCGAGUAGUC
This 460-nucleotide ribosomal RNA is filed under the name uncultured bacterium. RNAcentral describes it as "partial 16S ribosomal RNA". It matches the Rfam family "Bacterial small subunit ribosomal RNA", at positions 338 to 795 of the family's 1533-position model. The record is from RNAcentral.